GGGUCGAUGAUGAGAACCUUAUAUUGUCCUGAAGAGAGGUGAUGACUUAAAAAUCAUUCUCAAAAGGAUUAUGCUAAGGCCC
Pongo abelii (Sumatran orangutan) is the source of this 82-nucleotide small nucleolar RNA. Its record names the gene SNORD115. It matches the Rfam family "Small nucleolar RNA SNORD115". Rfam says of the family: HBII-52 is a member of the C/D class of snoRNAs, which contain the C (UGAUGA) and D (CUGA) box motifs. HBII-52 is encoded in a tandemly repeated array with another C/D snoRNA, HBII-85, in the Prader-Willi syndrome (PWS) region of chromosome 15. Lineage: Eukaryota; Metazoa; Chordata; Mammalia; Primates; Hominidae. The record is from Ensembl.